Long non-coding RNA from Halichondria panicea, 528 nucleotides. RefSeq lists it as uncharacterized. The record is from RefSeq and is a predicted model, not a curated record. NCBI's taxonomy places the organism in Eukaryota, Metazoa, Porifera, Demospongiae, Suberitida, Halichondriidae. The transcript is spliced from 3 exons.
UGACAUAAUUUUUUCUCUACACCUCAACAGUGCUGUUAUUUAAAGGCAUUUAGCUAGCUAGCUAGCUAUAAAGGAACGUUUGAAUAUCACCUGAAGCACUGAAGUCUACCUAUCAACUUUCUUUACAGCUCAGAGUCAGAUGGGGUUAUAAUUGUCUACAUGUAUUGAGACACGACUGUCAUCUUGAAGAUACUGGCACCUUCGCCACCUACUACUGAGCUGCUCCACUUUAGAGUUCAUCGACACACUGUGGACAUGUGCGGCUCGUACAGCAGCUGUGACACGUGUACCUCCUCCCCCGACCCAGUGUGUGGGUGGUGUGUACUACAAGGACGCUGUACACGACAAUCUCUCUGCCCUCCUGUACCAGAUAAGAAUAGUCGAUGGCAAAUGCCUGUCAUCACUAUAACAACACCCCAGCUAAUAUAUUACCGCGAGUUCACUUAUCUAGUAUAUGUAGUGUACAAUGAUUCCCCCUCCCACAUCACAGCUACCAACGCUAUUGGACGCCAUAUACGAUUAUCAGAA